RNAcentral lists this ribosomal RNA (301 nucleotides) under uncultured bacterium. RNAcentral describes it as "partial 16S ribosomal RNA". It matches the Rfam family "Bacterial small subunit ribosomal RNA", at positions 509 to 808 of the family's 1533-position model. The record is from RNAcentral.
CAGUAGCCACGGUAAUACGAAGGGUGCAAGCAUUACUCGGAAUUACUGGGCGUAAAGCGUGCGUAGGUGGUGGUUUAAGUCCGUUGUGAAAGCCCUGGGCUCAACCUGGGAAUUGCAAUGGAUACUGGAUCACUAGAGUGUGGUAGAGGAUAGUGGAAUUUCCGGUGUAGCAGUGAAAUGCGUAGAGAUCGGAAGGAACAUCUGUGGCGAAAGCACUCUGCUGGGCCGACACUGACACUGAGAGGCGAAAGCUAGGGGAGCAAAUGGGAUUAGAUACCCCCGUAGUCCCUGUCCUUAUACA